AGCUAGGGGGUGGAAGAUAGGAGAGGAGAGGCAUAGACUUUGCUAUAACUGACUUUUGUUGUUCUUGCUUGCAUUCUUCUCCUUUUUAAAUCGGCCCCCUUUUCACAUUGUGUGUCGCCAUAAACGGCUUUUCUUGUUGCAGGGCUAGCGGAGAGAAGACAGCGGAGCUCCACACACACAGACAGCGGGGCUGCGCGGGGCUGCACGCCGACCAAAACACACCGGCUGCCGGGAUCGAAACCGCGCGGACUACCGUAUAGGGGGAGCCGGAAUAGACGGAAGGGGGGAGAUGCAGGACGGAUGGUGUCUGGAGCUCUGCUCCGGACAGACCGAGGCUCCCUCAUCGGAGGGUGAAGCCAGAGGAUACGAAGGGAGAUUGAAGCGAAAUGGCAUCUUGUUUAAUUUCUGCCAAUCAAGACGAGAGGAAGACAACUCCCAAACUGGCAUGACGUACCGAGAGGGUGAAGACACGAUCAAGAGACCCGGACAAUGCAUGAACCGGAUGGGAACUGGUACACGUCCUCAAGUCCUCAGGAAGGAUUUCACUCCCCUCAUAACCCUCCUGCUGGGAUAAAUGUGGUGUCCUCGGAUGGGGUGACAGGACAGAUGCUCUGGC
Molecule: long non-coding RNA, 616 nt
Organism: Parambassis ranga (Indian glassy fish)
Lineage: Eukaryota; Metazoa; Chordata; Actinopteri; Ambassidae
Source: Ensembl